UACGGGGGGAGCAAGCGUUGUUCGGAAUUACUGGGCGUAAAGGGCUCGUAGGCGGCCAACUAAGUCAGACGUGAAAUCCCUCGGCUUAACCGGGGAACUGCGUCUGAUACUGGAUGGCUUGAGUUUGGGAGAGGGAUGCGGAAUUCCAGGUGUAGCGGUGAAAUGCGUAGAUAUCUGGAGGAACACCGGUGGCGAAGGCGGCGAUCCUGGACCAACACUGACGCUGAGUGAGCGAAAGCCAGGGGAGCAAAACAGG
Molecule: ribosomal RNA, 256 nt
Filed under: uncultured bacterium
Lineage: Bacteria
Description: partial 16S ribosomal RNA
Rfam family: Bacterial small subunit ribosomal RNA
Source: RNAcentral